Molecule: long non-coding RNA, 260 nt
Filed under: Elaeis guineensis (African oil palm)
Lineage: Eukaryota; Viridiplantae; Streptophyta; Magnoliopsida; Arecales; Arecaceae
Description: long non-coding RNA (EGUI_LNC025709)
Source: RNAcentral
GCUACCUCCUUAAAGGUCCGAUGACCAGCCUCCUCACCCUGAGAAGUUUAGAAUCGAUAGUACCCCUAUAAGUAGAAGCAACUGUAUAUUAAUAAAUAGAAUACAAACCUAUUGCGAAUUUAAAAAUUAAAUAUCUUUGACUUAUCAGGAAUAUCUUCCAGACUACAUUACGAGCCCCCAAUGGCCAAUUGGAGACCUCAUUCAUCGACCUCGACAUCAAUCAUAGGAUGAUCCUAUCCGAUAACCAUAUAAGGCACCCC